UCCUCCAACUUGUCUAU
Molecule: small RNA, 17 nt
Filed under: Arabidopsis thaliana (thale cress)
Lineage: Eukaryota; Viridiplantae; Streptophyta; Magnoliopsida; Brassicales; Brassicaceae
Description: ATSL065030
Source: RNAcentral